Hypanus sabinus (Atlantic stingray) is the source of this 1912-nucleotide long non-coding RNA. RefSeq lists it as uncharacterized. The record is from RefSeq and is a predicted model, not a curated record. NCBI's taxonomy places the organism in Eukaryota, Metazoa, Chordata, Chondrichthyes, Myliobatiformes, Dasyatidae. The transcript is spliced from 2 exons.
UAAAAUGUUGUGAAAGUUUACACCAGAUCAUGCUUAAUCCAAUAAGAUGGUUAGUUUUGCCCUCUUAUUAGCGCUGUGAGUCUCAGUGACCUUGAAUACUGGGAUACGAAGUGGAGUGAGUUGCUGCAGCUGUGGUUCAGAUGAGGGUGUUUUAUAGGUUGGUAGGGAUAGAUUUGGGGAAGCAGGGUGGAGAGUUUGGAGACUCGUUAGGAUUUAGGGACACGGAUGAGGGCAGUCAGAGUUCAGGAGCAGGAAUUGGAGUCUAGGUCAGAGCUCUCCAUGGUGGAAGGCCAGUGAUCCACAUGGACAGGUGGGCCCUGUGAACAAGAACUACUAACCCCUCCCCUCAGGUCGACGAGAACCUGCUGGUCAACAAGUCCCACGAUUGGAAGUCUGUGCGAGCUAAGAUUUCCAGGCCUGGAGGGCAAAGUCUUGUGUUUGGCAAGUCUAGGGUCAAUAUCGAAGGUGGAAGAUUGAAGUCAGCGAGUCCAGAAGUCAAGGCCCGACAAUUGAACCCCCUGGGUCAUUGUGUCCGUUCUGACAUCUGGGCCAGAGUCUAGCCAGCAGCUUUCCUCAAAACUGUGUUGAUGCUGUGCAUGUCAAGUGUUAAGACAAUGUGCAGGCAAGGAUAGUUUACAGACAGUAUGCAGUCAACCAGUGAGAUAAGGUACUUGAGAGCACCAUUCCCCUUUUCACAGCAUGGGACACACAAGGCCAUUUGGCAAGGUUGCCCUUUCCCAGGGAUGGUACAGAUGGAGACACAACCAGGUUUUGAAAGCACUCGCCCAUAGUUUGGAGACAGAGGGGAAGAAGAACCAUAAAAAGGACAGCCAACGAAACUUCAUCAGGACUGGUGAACAUGCUACAGCAACAAGCAAGCACAGAGAUGGUAUCCUGAGCAUAGCAAAGAACUGGGAGAUGAAAGUCGAUCUUGAAAAGAAGCUGGUGUUUCCACCAAUAGUAGAGACCGACCAGACGUUUUACUAUUGUCAGAGAGUGCAAAGAAGCUCAGGGUGAUAGAGCUAACCGUACCAUGGGAGAUCCAAUGCCAAAAUGAAGACCUGGUGGUGGACUGAAGAUGGGAAGGCUGGCAGACAGGGAACUUCCCUGUUGAAGUGGGGGCGAGGAUUUCCUGCCAUGUCAAGCUGGAAGAUGAUAGCAGCCUAGCUUUAAAAGAAACUGAAGCACAUUUAGAAACAUUGCAUUUGUAAAACAGAAAGACAAAAUAGUUCAGAAAAAAUAUUGUAAAAGACCAAUAUAGUAAUGUAAAAGUCUGACUAGACAGGAAAAAAAUCCACAAAGUCUGCAUUUCAGAUUUUGUUUUAUAUUUUAAUAUAUGUACUUCAAACAUCUUAGAAGCCUGUUGAUAAAAAAAAUGGGUAUAUUUGAUGACGCUAUGUUGCAAACAACAGGUUUGCAUUCCUACAGAGUGCAGAAGGAUCAAGUUAGCUGAUUUCCAUUGUAUCAUGCAUUCAUCUUUCAGUAUUACAAUAAUUUUCAUCCAUUUAGUAAAAUAUACAAUUUGACAAAACUUUACUCAAAUUUACUAGUACGCAAGUUGUAAGGCUACAAACAUUUAAAAAUGAACUAUUUAAAAUCAAGUUAAUCUAAUCUGUUACCCAAUAUUAAGUGAUUUUAAGUAAUUUCAAAAUAAAUCACAAAUCAGACAAAUAUUAAUAAACAAUUGUUUAUUGUGCAAUUUUCCAUAUGAUCCAUCAUAACCUACCACUCCGGUUCAAGAUUUGUUACUCUACACAAAGUCAGGUCUGUUUGCUUGAAGUACAUGCUUUCAUUAAAACAGAUACACAUAUUUACAAAAUUUGAAACGUCUUUACCAUUCCAAUAUUUUUUUAUUCCACACAAGCUAAAGGUCCUUUUCUCUUGCAAAGAAUAAAAAUGUUACUCCAAACAA